UACAGAGGUCCCAAGCGUUGUUCGGAUUCACUGGGCGUAAAGGGUGCGUAGGCGGUCGGGUAAGUCUGAUGUGAAAUCUCACAGCUUAACUGUGAAACUGCAUUGGAUACUAUCCGGCUAGAGGAAUGGAGGGGAGACUGGAAUACUUGGUGUAGCAGUGAAAUGCGUAGAUAUCAAGUGGAACACCAGUGGCGAAGGCGGCGUCCUGGCCUGCGACUGACGCUGUGGCGCGAAAGCUAGGGGAGCGAACGGG
This 253-nucleotide ribosomal RNA is filed under the name uncultured bacterium. Its description in RNAcentral is "partial 16S ribosomal RNA". It matches the Rfam family "Bacterial small subunit ribosomal RNA", at positions 524 to 776 of the family's 1533-position model. The record is from RNAcentral.